This 495-nucleotide ribosomal RNA is filed under the name uncultured bacterium. RNAcentral describes it as "partial 16S ribosomal RNA". It matches the Rfam family "Bacterial small subunit ribosomal RNA", at positions 28 to 507 of the family's 1533-position model. The record is from RNAcentral.
GACGAACGCUGGCGGCGUGCCUAAUACAUGCAAGUAGAACGCUGAAGGAGGAGCUUGCUUCUCUGGAUGAGUUGCGAACGGGUGAGUAACGCGUAGGUAACCUGCCUGGUAGCGGGGGAUAACUAUUGGAAACGAUAGCUAAUACCGCAUAAUAGUAGAUGUUGCAUGACAUUUGCUUAAAAGGUGCAAUUGCAUCACUACCAGAUGGACCUGCGUUGUAUUAGCUAGUUGGUGAGGUAACGGCUCACCAAGGCAACGAUACAUAGCCGACCUGAGAGGGUGAUCGGCCACACUGGGACUGAGACACGGCCCAGACUCCUACGGGAGGCAGCAGUAGGGAAUCUUCGGCAAUGGACGGAAGUCUGACCGAGCAACGCCGCGUGAGUGAAGAAGGUUUUCGGAUCGUAAAGCUCUGUUGUAAGAGAAGAACGAGUGUGAGAGUGGAAAGUUCACACUGUGACGGUAGCUUACCAGAAAGAGACGGCUAACUACGUG